CCUACGGGUGGCAGCAGUGAGGAAUAUUGGUCAAUGGGCGAGAGCCUGAACCAGCCAAGUCGCGUGAAGGAUGACGGCCCUACGGGUUGUAAACUUCUUUUGUCAGGGAGCAAUUGGGUCCACGCGUGGGCUUAGCGAGAGUACCUGAAGAAAAAGCAUCGGCUAACUCCGUGCCAGCAGCCGCGGUAAUACGGAGGAUGCGAGCGUUAUCCUGAUUUAUUGGGUUUAAAGGGUCCGUAGGAGGAAGAUCAAGUCAGCGGUAAAGUUUCGGGGCUAAACCCCGUCGUGCCGUUGAAAGUGAUGUUCGUGAGUGGACGAGAAGUAUGCGGAAUGCGUGGUGUAGCGGGGAAAUGCAUAGAUAUCACGCAGAACUCCGAUUGCGAAGGCAGCAUACCGGCGCCCAACGGACGCUGAAGCACGAAAGCGUGGGGAUCGAACAGGAUUAGAUACCCCUGUAGUC
RNAcentral lists this ribosomal RNA (460 nucleotides) under uncultured bacterium. RNAcentral describes it as "partial 16S ribosomal RNA". It matches the Rfam family "Bacterial small subunit ribosomal RNA", at positions 338 to 795 of the family's 1533-position model. The record is from RNAcentral.